This 915-nucleotide ribosomal RNA is filed under the name archaeon enrichment culture clone AOM-SR-A26. RNAcentral's name for it is "bacterial SSU rRNA". It matches the Rfam family "Archaeal small subunit ribosomal RNA", at positions 1 to 922 of the family's 1478-position model. The record is from RNAcentral.
UUCCGGUUGAUCCUGCCGGAGGUCACUGCUAUUGGGAUUCGACUAAGCCAUGCGAGUCGAGAGGGUUCGGCCCUCGGCUGACGGCUCAGUAACACGUGGAUAAUCUGCCCUUAGGUGGAGGAUAAUCUCGGGAAACUGAGGAUAAUACUCCAUAGAUCUAGGAUGCUGGAAUGCAUCUAGAUUGAAAGCUCCGGCGCCUAAGGAUGAGUCUGCGGACUAUCAGGUUGUAGUCAGGGUAAAGACCUGACUAGCCUACGACGGAUACGGGUUGUGAGAGCAAUAACCCGGAGACGAUAUCUGAGACACGAUAUCGGGCCCUACGGGGCGCAGCAGGCGCGAAAACUUCACACUGUGCGAAAGCGCGAUGAGGGAAUCCCAAGUGUUUGCUCGUAAGAGUAAACUGUUUCUCUGUUUAAAACGCAGAGAGAGUAAGGGCUGGGUAAGACGGGUGCCAGCCGCCGCGGUAAUACCUGCAGCUCAAGUGGUGAUCAUUAUUAUUGGGCCUAAAACGUCCGUAGCCGGUUUAGUAAAUGCCUGGGUAAAUCGUGUAGCUUAACUAUACGACUUCCGGGUAGACUACUAAACUUGAGACCGGGAGAGGCUAGAGGUACUCCUGGGGUAGAGGUGAAAUUCUGUAAUCCUAGGGGGACCACCAGUGGCGAAGGCGUCUAGCUAGAACGGGUCUGACGGUGAGGGACGAAGCCCUGGGGCACAAACCGGAUUAGAUACCCGGGUAGUCCAGGGUGUAAACGCUGCUUGCUUGAUGUUAGUUGGGCUCCGAGCCCAACUAGUGUCGGAGAGAAGUUGUUAAGCAAGCUGCCUGGGAAGUACGGUCGCAAGGCUGAAACUUAAAGGAAUUGGCGGGGGAGCACAGCAACGGGUGGAGCGUGCGGUUUAAUUGGAUUCAACGCCGGA